This 85-nucleotide transfer RNA is filed under the name Felis catus (domestic cat). It matches the Rfam family "tRNA". Rfam says of the family: Transfer RNA (tRNA) molecules are approximately 80 nucleotides in length. Their secondary structure includes four short double-helical elements and three loops (D, anti-codon, and T loops). Lineage: Eukaryota; Metazoa; Chordata; Mammalia; Carnivora; Felidae. The record is from Rfam by way of RNAcentral.
ACCUGGGUGGCUCAGUGGGUUAAGCGUCUGACUUUAGCUCAGGUCCUAAUGUCAGAGUUUGUGGGUUUGAGCCCUACCUUGGGCU